This is a long non-coding RNA of Mauremys mutica (yellowpond turtle), 230 nucleotides long. RefSeq lists it as uncharacterized. NCBI's taxonomy places the organism in Eukaryota, Metazoa, Chordata, Testudines, Geoemydidae. The transcript is spliced from 3 exons. The record is from RefSeq and is a predicted model, not a curated record.
UGAACACUAUGAACUUGUGUUUCAGGAAGUUCUAACCUGGAACGGAGAAACUCUUCUGAUGAGAAAGCAUUUUGUCAAGACAUUCCAAACCAGCUUUACUUGGGAUUCCCCUGCCAGUUCAGGUUUUGCAAGGAAACAAAGAAUGGCUGGAAACAGAAUUUGACCCUACAGCAAGCUAAAGAUCAUAAGUGAAAACAAAACUCUGUACACUGAGCUCUUGAGAUGUUCGG